This is a long non-coding RNA of Dromiciops gliroides (monito del monte), 3985 nucleotides long. RefSeq lists it as uncharacterized. The transcript has 4 exons. The record is from RefSeq and is a predicted model, not a curated record. Lineage: Eukaryota; Metazoa; Chordata; Mammalia; Microbiotheria; Microbiotheriidae.
GAGGAAAGCAUGAGGGAACUGGACAGGAAAGGGCAGGAAAGGACUGCCUAAGACACCUCAGCAUUUUUCCUGGAGCCAGCCUUGGGUAAAGACCAAGGCAUGGGAGAUAGCCACUGAAAAUGCCCAGGACUGGGAGGUGGAGUAUGAUGCUUGAAGAGCAGCAAGGAGGGGCCAGUGAGUGUCACUGGAUUGAAGAGUAUAAGGAAAUAACUAAUGUGUGUGUAUACUGGCUAGGUAAUAAAGGGCCCAGGAAGCCAAGCAGACAAUUUUCUAUUGGAUUACAGAAGUGCCAGGGAAACACUGGAGUUUAUUGAGUGAUAGAGUGCUAGGGUCAGACCUGUGCUUUAGAAAGAUCACUCUGACAACCAAGUAGAGAAUGGACUGGAGUGGGGAGAGACUGUAAGCAGGCAGAGCCCCCACCCCCUCACCCCUGAUUGAAGAGCUGAGGAUCCAUCUCAGAAGGCUGGCAGUGUCAGAGGAGAGAAGGGAGCCUUUAGGAAAGAUGUUGAGAGUAUAGAAUUUCAAGGAUUGGCAACACAUUGGAUACGAGGGGUGAGAGAGUGAGGAGUAGAAGAUGGCACCUGGAUUGUGAGCCUGGAUUCGAUUGUGAGCUACUAGAGGGCAGGACUGUCUUUUGCCUUUUUUUAAGUAGCAUCCCCAGCACUUAGCACAGUGCCUGGGCACAUAGUAAAUGCUUAUUAAAUGUUUGCCAACUGACUGGGAUGAUGGUGGUGCCCUCGACAAUAAUAGGGAAGAGAGGAUGGUUUGGGGGGAGGGGAGGUGCAGAUAAUGAACUCAGUUUUGGAUAUUAUUGAGUUUAAGGUAUCCAUGAGAAUUCAAUUUGAGAUGUCUAGUAGAGAGAGAUGUGAAACUAGAGCUCAAGAAAGAGUUCAGCAGCAAGAAGAGUUAGCAUCGAUAUGAUUAUUCAGUCCCAUGGCAGCUGAUGAGGUCACUUUAGGGAGAACAGAAAAGGGACCAGAAAAGAGCUCUGGGAGACCCACUAUUAGCAGAAGUAACCUGGAUAUAGAUCCAGCAAAAGAGACUAAGGAGGUAUCAGACAAGUAGAAUGAGACCCAGGAGAGAGCAGUGUCAUGAAAAAUGAGAAUAGAAAGUAUCAAGGAGAAGACAGUGAUCAACAGUGUAAAAGGCUGCAGAGAGGUCAAAAAGGGUGAGGAUUAAGAAAAGGCCAUUAGAUUUGGCAAUGAAGAGAUUAUUGAUAAUUUUGGAAAGAGUGACUUCAGUAGAAUGAUCAGGUUGGAAGCUGGACAGCAGAAAGUUAAGAGAAUAAAAGACUGUGGAGACACCAAUUAUAGACUUCCCAAGGAGUUUAGCUAUGAAAGGGAGAGGAAAGAGAGGAUGAAACCUAGAAGUGAUGGAGGGAUCAAGCAAGGGCUUUUGGAGAAAAGAUGUGAGCAUUUUUAUAGGCUGUAGAGAAGUAUCCAGUAGACAGGGAGAGACUGAAGAUAAAUGAGACAGUAGGGAUGAUAAAGGAGCAGUCUGCUGGAGAAGACAGAAUGUAUAUGCAGAUGGGUUUCUCUUGGCAUGGAGACUGGCCACGUCUUCUUGAAAAAAGUGAAGGAGAUAGUAGCAGAAGGCAUCUAAGUGAUAAGACACGAAGCAGGAGAAGACGAAGCUCUCACUGAAUGGCCUCAAAUGUUUCAGUGAAAUAUCAAGUCAGCUCCCCAGCUGAGAUGGUGGGGAAAGAAGGAGCCAUGAGGAGUCUGAUGGAUGAAAAGAUUUGGAAAAAUUGCUCUGGCAUCCUGACCUCCUGAAGCUAAUUUUGGAUUUAACACAGGACCUGCACUUACCUGUUGAAACCUCUCUCUUCCUUUGAGGAUGACCUUUGGUUCCACCUCCUCCAUGAUGCCAUCUCUGGACACAACCAGUGCCCCACCAGCUGAAUUCAACCUCUUUGUCUCACUAAAGCAUUCUGAUUCGGAGCCUACUGGUCAGCGCUGUAGGAUACAGAAUCGAAGACAACCUUAGGCAUCCCUCAUUUUACAAAGAAGGAAACUGAGGCCCAAAUGGAAGACUAGAGAGAAUUGUAAAAGCCAGAAUGGGGUAUGGUGAAAGUGGUAAAGCAUGGAAGUGCACGGUCCCUGAUUAUACACUGUGCUGCACACACACUGUCUCUCCCACCAGGCGUAACAAUCCACAAGUCUCUUUGCAGCUUCUCAAGGACAAGUGGGAAAGAGGGGGAAGAGCCUAGUAAUUAUCUUGUAGAAGGAAACAAAAUUGGCUCUUGGUUUCCAGGGCAGUGAGAGCCCAGUGGAGGUGGAGGCAGAGAGUGGUGUCAGGGGUUGGUAAGCAUGGAUGUAGCAACACCUCCACACCCCAGAGGCCCUAUUUCAAGAUGUGCUUCACCAACUACACAGGGAAAUGUGUUCCCCUCCAAGCGCAAGAUUGCUGAUAAAACAAGUAAAAGACGACACUCAGAUUACAGGGAAGAAAAUUCAGGACAUUCAACUGAACUUAAAAAACAUUUACUAAGCGGCACCUAUUAUAGCAUUAGGGAAACAAGGUUGAAAAACACAUUUUUUUUUUUUGCCUGCAAGGCAAAGGACUACAAGAACUGUACUAUUAUGGAGCAAAGACCCCCUCAAAAGACUAGGGUACAAGCAGAUGUGGUCUCAAAAUGCCAUAAGAAAUUGAGAACAGCAAGGAGGGGAUCAGGAGAGGUUUCAUCAAGGAGAGGAGCCUGAAGGGAGAGGGAAGGCUGAGCUGAUGGGGGCAGGGGACACCCUAAAUGAAUACGUACACGGAGGUGGGGCCCAUCAUAGCUGGAGCAGUGGGUGAGGAGGGGAGUCGAAAGAAACAAGGCCAGGAAGGCCCACUAGAGGCAGCCUCUAGGGGGCCUCAAACACAAGGCUGGCAGCUUGUGUCUCACCCUGGAUGGGCCGUGGAGCCAACUAAAGGUUUUUGAAGAAGGGAACAACGUGAUCAGACCUAUAUUGAUGCCAAGAGGAUUUUACAAGCCAUGCAAAUGGAGGAAGGGACAGUCACUGGGGGCCUUUUAUAACAGGCCAGGCAAGGGGCAAUGACGGCCAGAUCUGGGAUGGGAGGCAGGGGGCGGAGGUAUGAGUGAGAAAAGAGCAGAUGGCCAGACAGGAGUGUCAGGGCUUAACGACUGACUGAGCUGGGAGUGGGAGGGGGGAAAGGGAAAAGUCAAGGAUUAAUCUGAAGUUAUGAACCUGGGUCACUGAGGGAUGAUGCAGCUGCCAACAAAAAGAAGGAAAUUGGAAGUGGCAGAUUUGGCAGGGAGCAGAUGACCAAUGGAGUUGACGGGUUUGACAUACCAGUGGCACCGCUGAGUCACCUGGAAAGUCAGGAUUGGAGCUGGGGAGAGACUGGUGCUGGAGUCAUGUGCAAAGAAAGGAUGUUGCAAACAUCCUUCGCCCUUGAAUCAAAGGUGCAACCACCAAGCCGCAGAAACCCCAGCGGAGCUGCACGAAGGAUGUCGGUGACUCCCUCCUUCCAAGACGAGCACUUUGUUUUCAACCAAGGAAGAAGUCCCUCCAGAAGCCCAGACCACAUCACGGGCCCCAUCUCACUACUGUAGUUCCUGCACACCUCCAUUUCGCACAUUCCACCGUGGUGGCUGCAAACCAUCCUCAGUCUCACUGCGCAAUCUCCCUCAGCCCAUGUCUGUUCUCACCCUUGUUCAUCAUGGGGGAAGUGCUUAUUUCCUCUUCUCCUUUAUCCUCAUUUCUCACUUGGCCAUUCUUCCUUAUUUGAGGAAAAGGAGACAGGAAAUCACAAGGCAAUUUAAGCUGUUACCCCCACACCACCAUGACCACCACCCCUGUCCAUCUGUCUUUUUGUAUCGUUCCUUUUUUUUAUUCUAAAUUUAACAACCACCUAAUAAAACAAGUGUGUCCAAACACAUCGGAGAAGAAAAAAACUGCAGAGGAAACUGCACAUCUCUCUUAUGUACGUACAACAGGCUUUUCUGUUUGAGUACAAUAAAUUCAGUGUCUAGAUCUGA